AUGCACGCUGGCGGCGUGCUUCACCCAUGCCGGUCGAACGGUGAAGGCGGAGCUUGCUCUGCUGGAUCAGUGGCGAACGGGUGAGUAACACGUGAGCAAUCUGCCCCUGACUCUGGGAUAAGCGCUGGAAACGGCGUCUAAUACUGGAUACGAGCUGCGAAGGCAUCUUCAGCAGCUGGAAAGAACUUCGGUCAGGGAUGAGCUCGCGGCCUAUCAGCUUGUUGGUGAGGUAACGGCUCACCAAGGCGUCGACGGGUAGCCGGCCUGAGAGGGUGACCGGCCACACUGGGACUGAGACACGGCCCAGACUCCUACGGGAGGCAGCAGUGGGGAAUAUUGCACAAUGGGCGAAAGCCUGAUGCAGCAACGCCGCGUGAGGGACGACGGCCUUCGGGUUGUAAACCUCUUUUAGCAGGGAAGAAGCGAAAGUGACGGUACCUGCAGAAAAAGCGCCGGCUAACUACGUG
Molecule: ribosomal RNA, 467 nt
Filed under: uncultured bacterium
Lineage: Bacteria
Description: partial 16S ribosomal RNA
Rfam family: Bacterial small subunit ribosomal RNA
Source: RNAcentral